AGUACUACCGCCGCCCCAGGCUGAUGAGGAGGAGCCAGGCCCCAGCAACACCACCCCCACCUUCCCGUCCGCACCCACCACAGGGCCAGGAGGAGGAGGAGGCGCCGCCAGGUCCCAUCUCAUCCGUACCACAUGCCCCAUCCACCCAGGAGCCAGAACUGGACAGCUCCGGGAAUGGUAUGUUCAUAUCUCCCCAUGUAAUCUGGCUAUUGCUAUCUGCACCUAUGCAAAACAUCCAUAUUCCAAAUGUAUGUUCAUAUCUCCC
Molecule: long non-coding RNA, 265 nt
Organism: Pseudophryne corroboree (corroboree frog)
Lineage: Eukaryota; Metazoa; Chordata; Amphibia; Anura; Myobatrachidae
Exons: 4
Source: RefSeq, a predicted model, not a curated record